RNAcentral lists this ribosomal RNA (237 nucleotides) under uncultured bacterium. Its description in RNAcentral is "partial 16S ribosomal RNA". It matches the Rfam family "Bacterial small subunit ribosomal RNA", at positions 15 to 248 of the family's 1533-position model. The record is from RNAcentral.
GAUCCUGGCUCAGGAUGAACGCUAGCGACAGGCUUAACACAUGCAAGUCGAGGGGCAGCGGGGGUAGCGAUACCCGCCGGCGACCGGCGCACGGGUGAGUAACGCGUAUGCAACUUGCCUAUCAGAGGGGGAUAACCCGGCGAAAGUCGGACUAAUACCGCAUGAAGCAGGGAUCCCGCAUGGGAAUAUUUGCUAAAGAUUUAUCGCUGAUAGAUAGGCGUGCGUUCCAUUAGGCAG